Acanthosepion pharaonis is the source of this 104-nucleotide non-coding RNA. NCBI's taxonomy places the organism in Eukaryota, Metazoa, Mollusca, Cephalopoda, Sepiida, Sepiidae. The record is from the annotation of a GenBank genome assembly.
UAUGGCCACAUCACAUUGAAACACCAGUUCCCAUAUGAUCACUGAAGUUAAGCAACAUCAAGCUGGUCAAUACCUAGAUGGGUGACAAUUUGGGAAUACCAGGU